Molecule: Y RNA, 102 nt
Filed under: Carlito syrichta (Philippine tarsier)
Lineage: Eukaryota; Metazoa; Chordata; Mammalia; Primates; Tarsiidae
Description: Y RNA (ENSTSYG00000034440.1)
Rfam family: Y RNA
About the family: Y RNAs are components of the Ro ribonucleoprotein particle (Ro RNP), in association with Ro60 and La proteins. The Y RNAs and Ro60 and La proteins are well conserved, but the function of the Ro RNP is not known.
Source: Rfam by way of RNAcentral
GGCUGUUCCAAGUACAGUGGUGUUUGUAACUAAUUGAUCACAAUCAGUUAUAGAUUUAUUUGUUACUUUUCCAAUCCCACUGAUUCACUUGACUAGCCUUAA